This is a long non-coding RNA of Anthonomus grandis grandis, 957 nucleotides long. RefSeq lists it as uncharacterized. The transcript is spliced from 3 exons. The record is from RefSeq and is a predicted model, not a curated record. NCBI's taxonomy places the organism in Eukaryota, Metazoa, Arthropoda, Insecta, Coleoptera, Curculionidae.
AGUAAUUAUUAUUACUUAUAUUAUCUUGUUGCCUUGUAAAUUCACAACACCACUUUAUAUUUACAUUAAUUUACUACACCUUUAUUUGGUGAAUAUGGAUAUAAACACGGAUAAUAAAUUAAUAUGUGAAGAUUGUGGAAAGUAAUUUUGUUCUACUUCAACAUUGUAUCGGCAUAUGAGGGAUAUACAUAAUAAAAAACAAAGUGAAAAAGAGAGCAAACACAUUAUUUGCCCCCUUUGGCUGGACAAAGAUAAGUUUACAUCCUAAGAUUCUUUAAUAACACACUUUCAUAGUAUUCAUAAUAUACAUAAUAUUAAAGAAUCUGUUUUAAAUUUUAGGAUUUUUGCAGAGUUUGAAGCUUGGAGGUCUCCGGAAAAUAGAGAGGUAGAUUAUGCUGUUCACCGAAGAAAGAAAUCUGCUAAUGGAGAAGAAUGUAUUUACUAUAAUUGUAAUACAAGUGAUUCAAAAAGUACCUAGUUAAUUUUAUAAUUAUUUAAGGUAAUUUUUCAAUAAUUAAUCUAGGAUAUAUCAGUACAUGUCUGCAACAGAAUUUAAAGUCUAAAGAAAGCAUUCGCAUUCAAGGACUCUGUCCAUCAAGAUUAAUAGUUAAAAUUUUGGUAAAUGGAGUGAUUAGAGUAAGAUUUUUUGAAACCCACAUAGGACACACUGAUGAAUUAAGAAGCAAAAGGCUAAUAAAAUCGUAAUUAUCCAUAACGUAAUUAUGGUGGUGAAUUGGGUGAACAUGAUUUAGAAAAGUUUAUGGGUGAUUUUAGAAAUUUUAUGCAGACAGUAAAGCAAAAAGAAAUGGUGAUGAGUAAAAAAGAUAAAAAUAGAAAAGCAGCAGUAUUAUCCCAACAAAAAACCUAAAUAAAGUUAAUCAUAACAAAAUUUUUAUAACUAUUUUAUUAUUGCAUGACAUUGCUUUUAUGAGUGUUCUGGUAUUAAAUCCAAGUGGU